GCAUGCCUACAACAUAGCGUUAAUGCACCAAAUCCCAUUAGAACUCCACAGUUAAGUGCGCUCAUGCUAGAGUAGUACUGGGAUGGGUGACUACCGGGGAAUUCCUAGUGUUUUUCAUGCC
Picea glauca (white spruce) is the source of this 121-nucleotide non-coding RNA. The record is from Rfam. Lineage: Eukaryota; Viridiplantae; Streptophyta; Pinopsida; Pinales; Pinaceae.